GUUGUAUGGUUAAGUGACUAAGCGUACACGGUGGAUGCCUUGGCAGUCAGAGGCGAUGAAAGACGUAGUAACUUGCGAUAAGCCCAGAUUAGGUAGUAACAACCAUUUGAGUCUGGGAUUUCUGAAUGGGGAAACCCACKURCAUAAGYAMGUAUCMUUAMCUGAAUACAUAGGKUAAKGAGGCGAACCGGGGGAACUGAAACAUCUAAGUACCCCGAGGAAAAGAAAUCAACCGAGAUUCCGAAAGUAGCGGCGAGCGAAAUUGGACUAGCCCUUAAGCUUUACACGCGUUAGACGAACGGUCUGGAAAGUCCGACGAUACAGGGUGAUAGUCCCGUAGUUGACGACGUGUGUUCAGUGAAAUCGAGUAGGGCGGGACACGUGAUAUCCUGUCUGAAUAUGGGGGGACCAUCCUCCAAGGCUAAAUACUACUGACUGACCGAUAGUGAACCAGUACCGUGAGGGAAAGGCGAAAAGAACCCCUGUGAGGGGAGUGAAAUAGAACCUGAAACCGUGUACGUACAAGCAGUAGGAGCAGGCUUGUCCUGUGACUGCGUACCUUUUGUAUAAUGGGUCAGCGACUUAUAUUCAGUGGCAAGGUUAACCAUCUAGGGGAGCCGUAGGGAAACCGAGUCUUAACUGGGCGUUCAGUCUCUGGAUAUAGACCCGAAACCAGGUGAUCUAGCCAUGGGCAGGUUGAAGGUUGAGUAACAUCAACUGGAGGACCGAACCGACUAAUGUUGAAAAAUUAGCGGAUGACUUGUGGCUAGGGGUGAAAGGCCAAUCAAACCUGGAGAUAGCUGGUUCUCCCCGAAAGCUAUUUAGGUAGCGCCUCGGACGAAUACUACUGGGGGUAGAGCACUGUUAAGGCUAGGGGGUCAUCCCGACUUACCAACCCUUUGCAAACUCCGAAUACCAGUAAGUACUAUCCGGGAGACACACGGCGGGUGCUAACGUCCGUCGUGGAGAGGGAAACAACCCAGACCGCCAGCUAAGGUCCCAAAUUACUACUAAGUGGGAAACGAUGUGGGAAGGCUCAGACAGCCAGGAUGUUGGCUUAGAAGCAGCCAUCAUUUAAAGAAAGCGUAAUAGCUCACUGGUCGAGUCGGCCUGCGCGGAAGAUGUAACGGGGCUAAGUAGUAAACCGAAGCUGCGGCAAURURCUUUUGYAYAUUGGGUAGGGGAGCGUUCUGUAAGCGGUUGAAGGUGUGUGGUAACGCAUGCUGGACGUAUCAGAAGUGCGAAUGCUGACAUGAGUAACGAUAAAGGGGGUGAAAAACCUCCUCGCCGGAAGACCAAGGGUUCCUGUCCAACGUUAAUCGGGGCAGGGUAAGUCGACCCCUAAGGCGAGGCCGAAAGGCGUAGUCGAUGGGAAACGGGUUAAUAUUCCCGUACUUCUUACAAUUGCGAUGGGGGGACGGAGAAGGCUAGGUGGGCCUGGCGACGGUUGUCCAGGUUCAAGUGCGUAGGCUUAAGAGUUAGGUAAAUCCGGCUCUUUUUAAGGCUGAGACACGACGUCGAGCUACUACGGUAGUGAAGUCAUUGAUGCCAUGCUUCCAGGAAAAGCCUCUAAGCUUCAGAUUGUAAGGAAUCGUACCCCAAACCGACACAGGUGGUCGGGUAGAGAAUACCAAGGCGCUUGAGAGAACUCGGGUGAAGGAACUAGGCAAAAUGGUACCGUAACUUCGGGAGAAGGUACGCUCUYGAYGGUGAAGUCCCUCGCGGAUGGAGCURWYGAGAGUCGCAGAUACCAGGUGGCUGCAACUGUUUAUUAAAAACACAGCACUGUGCAAAAUCGUAAGAUGACGUAUACGGUGUGACGCCUGCCCGGUGCCGGAAGGUUAAUUGAUGGGGUUAGACUUCGGUCGAAGCUCUUGAUCGAAGCCCCGGUAAACGGCGGCCGUAACUAUAACGGUCCUAAGGUAGCGAAAUUCCUUGUCGGGUAAGUUCCGACCUGCACGAAUGGCGUAAUGAUGGCCACGCUGUCUCCACCCGAGACUCAGUGAAAUUGAAAUCGCUGUGAAGAUGCAGUGUACCCGCGGCUAGACGGAAAGACCCCGUGAACCUUUACUACAGCUUGGCACUGAACAUUGACCCUACAUGUGUAGGAUAGGUGGGAGGCUUUGAAGCACGUACGCCAGUAUGUGUGGAGCCGUCCUUGAAAUACCACCCUUGUAGUGUUGAUGUUCUAACGUCGACCCCUUAUCGGGGUUGCGGACAGUGCCUGGUGGGUAGUUUGACUGGGGCGGUCUCCUCCCAAAGAGUAACGGAGGAGCACGAAGGUGGGCUAAUCACGGUUGGACAUCGUGAGGUUAGUGCAAUGGCAUAAGCCCGCUUGACUGCGAGAAUGACAAUUCGAGCAGGUGCGAAAGCAGGUCAUAGUGAUCCGGUGGUUCUGAAUGGAAGGGCCAUCGCUCAACGGAUAAAAGGUACUCCGGGGAUAACAGGCUGAUACCGCCCAAGAGUUCAUAUCGACGGCGGUGUUUGGCACCUCGAUGUCGGCUCAUCACAUCCUGGGGCUGAAGUCGGUCCCAAGGGUAUGGCUGUUCGCCAUUUAAAGUGGUACGCGAGCUGGGUUUAGAACGUCGUGAGACAGUUCGGUCCCUAUCUGCCGUGGGCGUUGGAAGAUUGAAGGGGGCUGCUCCUAGUACGAGAGGACCGGAGGUUGUCGGAGACUACGACGUUGAUAGGUCAGGUGUGUAAGUGCUGUGAGGCAUUGAGCUAACUGAUACUAAUUGCCCGUGAGGCUUAACCAUACAACACCCAAGGGGUUU
RNAcentral lists this ribosomal RNA (2774 nucleotides) under Vibrio parahaemolyticus. RNAcentral's name for it is "bacterial LSU rRNA". It matches the Rfam family "Bacterial large subunit ribosomal RNA". Lineage: Bacteria; Pseudomonadati; Pseudomonadota; Gammaproteobacteria; Vibrionales; Vibrionaceae. The record is from RNAcentral.